GGAGAGAUGGUCGAGGGGUUAAUGGCGGCAGACUGUAAAUCUGUUCUCUUUAUGAGUACGUUGGUUCAAAUCCAGCUCUCUCCA
RNAcentral lists this transfer RNA (84 nucleotides) under Candidatus Zinderia insecticola CARI. RNAcentral describes it as "tRNA-Tyr (GTA) (tRNA-Tyr-GTA-1-1)". It matches the Rfam family "tRNA". Rfam says of the family: Transfer RNA (tRNA) molecules are approximately 80 nucleotides in length. The record is from Rfam by way of RNAcentral. Lineage: Bacteria; Pseudomonadati; Pseudomonadota; Betaproteobacteria; Burkholderiales; Oxalobacteraceae.